This 405-nucleotide ribosomal RNA is filed under the name uncultured bacterium. RNAcentral describes it as "bacterial SSU rRNA". It matches the Rfam family "Bacterial small subunit ribosomal RNA", at positions 355 to 776 of the family's 1533-position model. The record is from RNAcentral.
UGGGGAAUAUUGGGCAAUGGGCGAAAGCCUGACCCAGCGACGCCGCGUGAAGGAAGACGGUCUUCGGAUUGUAAACUUCUUUUAUAUAGGACGAAGUAUGACGGUACUAUAUGAAUAAGCCACGGCUAACUACGUGCCAGCAGCCGCGGUAAUACGUAGGUGGCGAGCGUUAUCCGGAUUUACUGGGUGUAAAGGGUGUGUAGGCGGGACUGCAAGUCAGAUGUGAAAAUCACGGGCUCAACUCGUGACCUGCAUUUGAAACUGUGGUUCUUGAGGGUCGGAGAGGUAACUGGAAUUCCUGGUGUAGCGGUGAAAUGCGUAGAUAUCAGGAGGAACACCGGUGGCGAAGGCGGGUUACUGGACGAUUACUGACGCUGAGACACGAAAGCGUGGGGAGCAAACAGG